Molecule: non-coding RNA, 3181 nt
Organism: Kogia breviceps (pygmy sperm whale)
Lineage: Eukaryota; Metazoa; Chordata; Mammalia; Artiodactyla; Physeteridae
Source: RefSeq, a predicted model, not a curated record
CUAUGAAAGGCAUCGUUGAACAUUAUUAACUUGAAUGAAAAGCUGAUAACAUUAGGAUCCAGACUGGAAUUCCAUUUAAGUCAUAAUUUGGUUGUAUGCUAGAAUUUGGAGGCCAGUAAGGUUUGACUUGGAUUCAUUUGGUAGAAAGAAUACUGAAAUAGGCUUUUGGAAUUUGAUUCUUCCAUGAAACUGUAGCCUUCAAUCUGGAUACUGUUGUGUUUUUAGGUCUCUCAUGGGCACUCCUUAGUCUUUUUUUAAGCUCUUUCUUGGAUUUGAAGAAACUUAGAAUGUUAGAGAAAUGAGGACCAUUGCCUUAGAGUGUGAAUUGCUUUCUUGGAAUAGUUUGGGGAUUUAAGUGAAUUGAAAUCUGAAGUAAGGGAGUUUCUGUGAGGUGCUUUUACUCCAAUGACGUAGCCAUAAAUAAAUUCAGUAAUCUACAUCUCGGACAUAGUAUGCUAGGGCGCAGUUUCAACACUGGGUUAUUAAAACAACUUUUUAUUGUGUUGAGUACACUGUUCAUUUUGUAAAGGAUGUUAUUUGACCCACAACACAAAAGUGGAGGCAAAUUCAUAGCAUUUUGAUUUGAGCCAGGAACUUAGAUUAAUUUGGCUUUAUGAGAGAGGCUUUGUCUUUCAGGGAUCAGUUAUUAAUGAAGUUUACAGAGAUGGAUGUAAGUAUAAAAUGGAAUCCAGCAUUUUAAUGUUCAGUGAGAACUAAAGCUGCAAGACAGUCUACAAUGUUUUAUUCUUCUUUGUAGGUAAACUUACAUAGAAAGCCAGAUUCCUAGACGGUUAUUCUUUGGUGAAAUAGAACAGGUAGUUUAUUUUAAGACCCAUUUUUCAGCAUUUAAGCUUGAGGCACCCAUCCACUGUAGAUCAGCAAGAGAUAUACCAGUCUGUUUAGCUGAACUGCCUUUCUAAGAUAGUGCUUGGAAAGGGCACUUUCCUUCUUGUUCUCAGGGUUUUCUUUUUGUUUUUUUAAUUCUCAGUAUACUAGGGAAAAUAGCAUUUACCAUUUGAGUCUAAUGGGCCAUUUUUAUUGUUUUUUAUAUUUUUAAGUCAUUUUACAUAUAAAUUUACAGAAGUAAGAAUAAAAAGGAUGGUGAAGAUAAACAUUAUUAGAUAUUUUAAUAAACAUUUAAACAAAGAAAUCCAAGUUUUUAUUGACAAUACAUGUACCUAAAAUGAGCAAAGUUUUCUGAAUAUUAACUUAUUGCUCAUCAGCUAUCAUACAUAAACCCAGAACAUACCCAUCUUGUAAAUGCUGAUAUCAGAUUUAAAGUCCAUCUCUGAUAAGUUCUAGUUUAUCAUUUCUUCCAUUUCAUCUCACACACUUGAAUUAUCAGAAUGCAAUGGUUUAAGAAUACGGUUGACCCUUGAACAACAUGGGUUUGAACUGCAUGGGUCCAUGUAUACCCGGAUUCCCCCCGUGUGGCUUGUGGAAGUCUUAGUUCCCUGACCAGAGAUUGAACCUGGGCCCUCGGCAGUGAAAGUGUAGAGUCUUGAACACUGGACCAUUCCCACUCAGAUUAUUUUCAAUAGAAAAUGCUACAGUACUGCAUGAUCAGUGGUUGGUUGAGUUCGCAGAUGUGGAACUGCGUAUACAGAAGGCCGUCUGUGUUACACUCAGCUUUCAACUGCAUGGAGGGUUGACGCCCCUAACCCCUUUGUUGUUCAAGGGUCGAUUGUAUUUUGGAACUUCUGAUGGCUUCUAAUUUUAUCGAAUAGAAUAUUAGCAUCUUUGCCCUGUAAUUACACCACUCUGAUAUUUAACCAGUUGGAUUGACUAAUGUGCAUUUCUUCGUCUUCUGUUUAUUUCUAGUCAAAGAAGAUGGCAGAGUAUUUUAGGAUGUAGGAAAAAUAAGGUUCUUGGAUUCUGUCUUAGAUUUAUGUAAGGGUUCAUUGGAUGCUUAAUAACAAUUGCAAGACAGAAUGAGUUUUAUUCUAUUCUAAAAAAAAGGUAAAAAUUUCUUAUUUUUUGGAAGAUCUGUAAGAAAGGAUAGAGUCAAGAAAUAGAUUUACUCAUAUAAGAAAUGCAGAAGCUAAAAUUGAGUUCACUGGAGCUUCAUUGGUAUAUUGGCUUUUUUUCCCCUCAGCUUUUCUCUAAUCAUGGUAUUCAGUAAAGUUGAUCAUGAAGUUUUGGCUUAUUUAUUUUUAAUUCCAGUAUUCCACCACUUCAAAGAUUUACUCUCAUUAUCAUCUUGAUAGAAGCUUCAGGCUUUACAAAACUGUUUGCCUAUCAGUAGUUGUUUGCAUUAUUUCAAAAUGGCUGUUAACAUGUAUUGAUUGGUAGAUUUCUCUGCCCACCUGUGUAGGGGCAACCUUAGCUUAAUCAAGAUUUUUGUGAGUGUUUCUUAGUCAUCUCUUCCCAGCCCCCCCUUCUUAUGUAUUGAAAAGAUAUCAAACUGCUGUAUCAUAAAAAAUAACUCUUAAUUCUCAAUGGAAACUUUUCUAAUGUAUUAUAUUUUAAAAUACUUGAUAAUUAUAGAAUACCUAAGAUACAGGGUUUUUUUUUUUUUUUGCAUAGGAGGUUUUGUAAGGUAUGUACUCUGCUAGAUGGACUAAAUGUGUGUAUAAUUUUUUUUGUUAGACUUUUAGUACAUUUAAGUUCCUCAGCAAGGGAUUUAAAUGUCAUACCUUGAAGGAAUUUUAAAAUAGGAAGAAAUUUUAAAAAACUUUCUAAAAACAGUUCUUAAUUUCAACAUUUUAUAAAUACUGAUAACAGAUUUAAAAUCCAUCUUAUUAAGGUUCUAGCUUAUCCUUACUUCUGAUACUUGAAUCAUCAGAAUGCCAUGCUCGAAGAUGAACAGUGUUGACAGAAACUGAAAGACCUAUGUUUUACACUAUGUAAAACUGUCUUCCCAGAAGCAUUUCUUCAAAAUAAUACUUAUUGGGACUUCCCUGGUGGCACAGUGGUUAAGAAUCCGCUUGCCAAUGCAGGGGACACGGGUUCCAUCCCUGGUCCAGGAAGAUCCCACAUGCUACGGAGCAACUAAACCCGUGCGCCACAACUACUGAGCCUGUGCUCUAGAGCCCGUGAGCCACAACUACCAAGCCUGCGCGCCUAGAGCCCAUGCUCCACAGCAAGAGAAGCCACUGCAAGGAGAAGCCUGUGUACUGCAAUGAAGAGUAGCUCCUGCUUGCCACAACUACAGAAAGCCUGUGCAGCAACGAAGACCCAA